GGGAGGAAGCCCCGGCUAACUACGUGCCAGCAGCCGCGGUAAUACGUAGGGGGCUAGCGUUAUCCGGAUUUACUGGGCGUAAAGGGUGCGUAGGCGGUCUUUCAAGUCAGGAGUGAAAGGCUACGGCUCAACCGUAGUAAGCUCUUGAAACUGGGAGACUUGAGUGCAGGAGAGGAGAGUGGAAUUCCUAGUGUAGCGGUGAAAUGCGUAGAUAUUAGGAGGAACACCAGUUGCGAAGGCGGCUCUCUGGACUGUAACUGACGCUGAGGCACGAAAGCGUGGGGAGCAAACAGGAUUAGAUACCCUGGUAGUCCACGCUGUAAACGAUGA
Molecule: ribosomal RNA, 330 nt
Filed under: uncultured bacterium
Lineage: Bacteria
Description: bacterial SSU rRNA
Rfam family: Bacterial small subunit ribosomal RNA
Source: RNAcentral